This 465-nucleotide ribosomal RNA is filed under the name uncultured bacterium. RNAcentral's name for it is "partial 16S ribosomal RNA". It matches the Rfam family "Bacterial small subunit ribosomal RNA", at positions 28 to 507 of the family's 1533-position model. The record is from RNAcentral.
GACGAACGCUGGCGGCGUGCUUAACACAUGCAAGUCGAACGGAAAGGCCCCUUUUUGGUUACUCGAUUGGCGAACGGGUGAGUAACACGUAAGUAACCUGCCCUUGACUUCGGGAUAACUUCAGGAAACUGGGUCUAAUACCGGAUAGGAAUCCUUGCUGCAUGGUGGGGGUUGUAAAGCUUCUUCGGUUUUGGAUGGACUCGCGGCUUAUCAGCUUGUUGGUGGGGUAGUGGCUUACCAAGGCUUUGACGGGUAGCCGGCCUGAGAGGGCGACCGGCCACAUUGGGACUGAGAUACGGCCCAGACUCCUACGGGAGGCAGCGGUGGGAAAUAUUGCACAAUGGGCGGAAGCCUGAUGCAGCAACGCCGCGGGCGGGAUGACGGACUUCGGGUUGUAAACCGCUUUCCGCAGGGGCGAAGCUUGUGGUGACGGUACCUGCAGAAGAAGCACCGGCUAACUACGUG